RNAcentral lists this ribosomal RNA (449 nucleotides) under uncultured bacterium. RNAcentral describes it as "bacterial SSU rRNA". It matches the Rfam family "Bacterial small subunit ribosomal RNA", at positions 329 to 797 of the family's 1533-position model. The record is from RNAcentral.
CUCCAGACUCCUACGGGAGGCAGCAGUGGGGAAUAUUGCACAAUGGGGGAAACCCUGAUGCAGCGACGCCGCGUGAGUGAAGAAGUAUUUCGGUAUGUAAAGCUCUAUCAGCAGGGAAGAAGUUGACGGUACCUGAGUAAGAAGCCCCGGCUAACUACGUGCCAGCAGCCGCGGUAAUACGUAGGGGGCAAGCGUUAUCCGGAUUUACUGAGUGUAAAGGGAGCGUAGACGGCAGUGCAAGUCUGAAGUGAAAGCCCCGGGCUUAACCCGGGAACUGCUUUGGAAACUGUACGGCUGGAGUGCUGGAGAGGUAAGCGGAAUUCCUAGUGUAGCGGUGAAAUGCGUAGAUAUUAGGAGGAACACCAGUGGCGAAGGCGGCUUACUGGACAGUAACUGACGUUGAGGCUCGAAAGCGUGGGGAGCAAACAGGAUUAGAUACCCGCGUACAA